GUGCUCUCUUGGGCAGCACACACACUAAAAUUGGAACAAUACAGAGAUUAGCAUGGCCCCUGCAUAAGGAUGACAUGCAAAUUCGUGAAGUUGAAAGGAUACAG
Small nuclear RNA from Suricata suricatta (meerkat), 104 nucleotides. The record is from Ensembl. NCBI's taxonomy places the organism in Eukaryota, Metazoa, Chordata, Mammalia, Carnivora, Herpestidae.